AAGAAAGCGGCAGAAGUGGUUAUGCGGUUGGCUUGAAACCAAUUUAAGGGGGUUCGAUUCCCUCCUUUCUGG
Molecule: transfer RNA, 72 nt
Filed under: Sillaginopsis panijus (flathead sillago)
Lineage: Eukaryota; Metazoa; Chordata; Actinopteri; Sillaginidae
Description: tRNA-Ser(UCN)
Rfam family: tRNA
About the family: Transfer RNA (tRNA) molecules are approximately 80 nucleotides in length. Their secondary structure includes four short double-helical elements and three loops (D, anti-codon, and T loops).
Source: RNAcentral